RNAcentral lists this ribosomal RNA (433 nucleotides) under uncultured bacterium. RNAcentral describes it as "partial 16S ribosomal RNA". It matches the Rfam family "Bacterial small subunit ribosomal RNA", at positions 29 to 507 of the family's 1533-position model. The record is from RNAcentral.
AACGAACGCUGGCGGCAUGCCUAACACAUGCAAGUCGAACGAAACCUUCGGGUCUAGUGGCGCACGUGUGCGUAACGCGGGGGAACCUGCCCGUAGGUUCGGAAUAACUCCCCGUAGGGGGUGCUCAUACCGGAUAAUGUCUUCGGACCAAAGAUGUCUCGCUUUUGGAUGGGCCCGCGUUAGAUUCGCUGGUUGGUAGUGUAAAAGCCUGCCAACGCGACGAUGCAUAGCUGGUCUGAGAGGAUGACACACCACACUUGGAAUGAGACACGGCCUAGACUGGUACGGGAGGGAGGAGUGGGGAAUAUUGGGCGAUGGGGGCAGGUGUGAUCAAGCAGUGCCGGGGGAGAGGUGAAGGGGGUAGGGUUGUAAAGCUGUCUUAGACGGGGUGAUAAUGACAGUAACGGGAGAAUAAGCACCGGCUAACUACGUG